RNAcentral lists this non-coding RNA (72 nucleotides) under marine eukaryotic metagenome. RNAcentral's name for it is "Cyclic di-GMP-I riboswitch". It matches the Rfam family "c-di-GMP-I riboswitch aptamer". Rfam says of the family: GEMM was predicted in a large-scale screen for bacterial structured RNA regulatory elements. Genes associated with GEMM are involved in a diverse array of functions, including chemotaxis regulation, signal transduction, secretion and chitin. The record is from RNAcentral.
AAACGACAAACCGGCGGUGACGUCAGGACGCAAAGCCACCGGCCUCCAAAACGAGGCAGCGGGGCUACCGAA